Molecule: ribosomal RNA, 506 nt
Filed under: uncultured bacterium
Lineage: Bacteria
Description: partial 16S ribosomal RNA
Rfam family: Bacterial small subunit ribosomal RNA
Source: RNAcentral
AGUGAACGCUGGCGGUAGGCCUAACACAUGCAAGUCGAACGGCAGCACAGAGGAGCUUGCUCCUUGGGCGGCGAGUGGCGGACGGGUGAGGAAUACAUCGGAAUCUACUCUGUCGUGGGGGAUAACGUAGGGAAACUUACGCUAAUACCGCAGACGACCUACGGGUGAAAGCAGGGGAUCUUCGGACCUUGCGCGAUUGAAUGAGCCGAUGUCGGAUUAGCUAGUUGGCGGGGUAAAGGCCCACCAAGGCGACGAUCCGUAGCUGGUCUGAGAGGAUGAUCAGCCACACUGGAACUGAGACACGGUCCAGACUCCUACGGGAGGCAGCAGUGGGGAAUAUCGGACAAUGGGCGCAAGCCUGAUCCAGCCAUACCGCGUGGGUGAAGAAGGCCUUCGGGUUGUAAAGCCCUUUUGUUGGGAAAGAAAUCCAUCUGGUUAAUACCCGGGUGGGAUGACGGUACCCAAAGAAUAAGCACCGGCUAACUUCGUGCCAGCCGCCGCCGUAA